RNAcentral lists this ribosomal RNA (596 nucleotides) under uncultured bacterium. RNAcentral describes it as "bacterial SSU rRNA". It matches the Rfam family "Bacterial small subunit ribosomal RNA", at positions 28 to 717 of the family's 1533-position model. The record is from RNAcentral.
GACGAACGCUGGCGGCGUGCCUAACACAUGCAAGUCGAACGAGUGGGAACGGGUGAGUAACGCGUAGGCAACCUGCCCUUUAGACGGGGACAACAUUCCGAAAGGAGUGCUAAUACCGGAUGCUAAAGGAUGGGCCUGCGUCUGAUUAGCUAGUUGGUAGUGUAACGGACUACCAAGGCGAUGAUCAGUAGCCGGUCUGAGAGGAUGAACGGCCACAUUGGGACUGAGACACGGCCCAAACUCCUACGGGAGGCAGCAGUGGGGAAUCUUCCGCAAUGGACGAAAGUCUGACGGAGCAACGCCGCGUGAGUGAUGAAGGAUUUCGGUCUGUAAAGCUCUGUUGUUUAUGACGCGGUAGUAAACGAGGAAGCCACGGCUAACUACGUGCCAGCAGCCGCGGUAAUACGUAGGUGGCGAGCGUUGUCCGGAAUUAUUGGGCGUAAAGAGCAUGUAGGCGGCUUAAUAAGUCGAGCGUGAAAAUGCGGGGCUCAACCCCGUAUGGCGCUGGAAACUGUUAGGCUUGAGUGCAGGAGAGGAAAGGGGAAUUCCCAGUGUAGCGGUGAAAUGCGUAGAUAUUGGGAGGAACACCAGUGGCG